This 256-nucleotide ribosomal RNA is filed under the name uncultured bacterium. RNAcentral's name for it is "partial 16S ribosomal RNA". It matches the Rfam family "Bacterial small subunit ribosomal RNA", at positions 524 to 776 of the family's 1533-position model. The record is from RNAcentral.
UACGUAGGGACCAAGCGUUGUCCGGAAUCAUUGGGCGUAAAGCGCGCGUAGGUGGCCAUUUAAGUCCGCUGUGAAAGUCAGAGGCUCAACCUUUGAAAGCCGGUGGAUACUGGAUGGCUAGAGUACGGAAGAGGCGAGUGGAAUUCCUGGUGUAGCGGUGGAAUGCGCAGAUAUCAGGAGGAACACCAAUAGCGAAGGCAGCUCGCUGGGACGUUAACUGACGACUAAGGCGCGAAAGCAGUGGGGAGCAAACAGG